Molecule: ribosomal RNA, 388 nt
Filed under: uncultured bacterium
Lineage: Bacteria
Description: bacterial SSU rRNA
Rfam family: Bacterial small subunit ribosomal RNA
Source: RNAcentral
ACUCCUACGGGAGGCAGCAGUGGGGAAUAUUGCACAAUGGGGGAACCUAGCAUGCAGCCAUGCCGCGUGUGUGAAGAAGGCCUUCGGGUUGUAAAGCACUUUCAGUAGGGAGGAAGGUAGUGUAGUUAACACCUGCAUUAUUUGACGUUACCUACAGAAGAAGCACCGGCUAACUCCGUGCCAGCAGCCGCGGUAAUACGGAGGGUGCGAGCGUUAAUCGGAAUUACUGGGCGUAAAGCGCAUGCAGGCGGCCGUUAAGUCAGAUGUGAAAGCCCGGGGCUUAACCUCGGAAUUGCAUUUUGAAACUGGCAGGCUAGAGUCUUGUAGAGGGGGGUGAGAAUUAUCAGGUGUAGCGGUGAAAUGCGUAGAGAUCUGAAGGAAUACCAGU